AUCCAGCUGACGAGUCCCAACUAGGACAAAACACACAUCCUGGAU
RNAcentral lists this non-coding RNA (45 nucleotides) under Schistosoma haematobium. The record is from RNAcentral. Lineage: Eukaryota; Metazoa; Platyhelminthes; Trematoda; Strigeidida; Schistosomatidae.